UCGGGAAUUUUGGGCAAUGGGCGAAAGCCUGACCCAGCAACGCCGCAUGAGGGAUGAAGUAUUUCGGUAUGUAAACCCGAAAGAAUGGGAAGAAUAAAUGACGGUACCAUUUAUAAGCUCCGGCUAACUACGUGCCAGCAGCCGCGGUAAUACGUAGGGAGCAAGCGUUGUUCGGAGUUACUGGGCGUAAAGAGUGCGUAGGCGGUUUUCUAAGUUCGGUGUGAAAUCUCCCGGCUUAACUGGGAGGGUGCGCUGAAGACUGGGAAGCUGGAGUGUGGGAAAGGCAGGCGGAAUUCCUGGUGUAGCGGUGAAAUGCGUAGAUAUCAGGAGGAACACCGGCGGUGUAGACGGCUUGCUAGACCAUAACUGACGCUGAGGCACGAAAGCGUGGGUAGCAAACA
This 401-nucleotide ribosomal RNA is filed under the name uncultured bacterium. Its description in RNAcentral is "bacterial SSU rRNA". It matches the Rfam family "Bacterial small subunit ribosomal RNA", at positions 355 to 774 of the family's 1533-position model. The record is from RNAcentral.